This 74-nucleotide transfer RNA is filed under the name Loxodonta africana (African savanna elephant). It matches the Rfam family "tRNA". Rfam says of the family: Transfer RNA (tRNA) molecules are approximately 80 nucleotides in length. Their secondary structure includes four short double-helical elements and three loops (D, anti-codon, and T loops). Lineage: Eukaryota; Metazoa; Chordata; Mammalia; Proboscidea; Elephantidae. The record is from Rfam by way of RNAcentral.
CCCUUGGUGGUAUAAAUUGUUAAAGCACUCGGCUGCUAACUGAAGGGCUGGUGGUUCAAAUCCACCCAGAGGCA